Dreissena polymorpha is the source of this 493-nucleotide long non-coding RNA. RefSeq lists it as uncharacterized. Lineage: Eukaryota; Metazoa; Mollusca; Bivalvia; Myida; Dreissenidae. The transcript has 3 exons. The record is from RefSeq and is a predicted model, not a curated record.
UAAUGUGGAAAUGAAAAAUAAGUUUGUUGCAAAAGAGGUUCAAAUUGGCUCAGGUUUAACUGUGAUUUGGUCUCACCAAAUUCCUGUGUUUUUGGAAUACUGCAGAACAGCAUAAAAGAUUAUGUCAUAGCAUUAGGGAGAAAGGUUGCUGGUGGCAUAACAAAUUUUCCCAUCUCGGACCUCAAAAGCCACAUCACAAAUUGAAGAAUUUGUUUGCAAGAAAGCACAGACUGUUGAAAAAAACAUGUUGUGAAAAAAUGGACUUUUUUAUAUUUGCUCUGUGUGCGCGCCCGGAUGAUGAGCACAAAGCGGUCCUUGACAAAGGAAAGCUGGAUUUGUUGAUAGAUUAUGACAUAGGAUGGGGGAGAAUCGUGGACCUGAACAAUACUGUGAUAGAGAGGAAUUCCUACUCAAGAAAGCAGUUUAAAAAACGCAUUCAGUGUGAAAGAGUGAACUUUUUUAUUUUUGGCUUGUAUAAGAACAGUUUGUUUUU